GGCCUUCAACACGGAGCCUUGGCUCACACCGAACAACAAGCUAUAAAGGGCCCCAAAAUUAAUAGUGUAAAACCAUUCAAACAGGAAAACCUACGGUCUAAUCUAUAUAAACAACACGAGAAACGAGAAACACGUAUAUAUUACAUAAACAAACGACAAAUACUGUACAUCAGAUUCCUGACUUGGGACAGGUGCAAACAUUUGCAGCGGGAUUAAACGUUUUAAUGGAUCCAAACCUUCUCCCUUUUUCUGAAACAAUAGCAUAACAUCACAA
RNAcentral lists this long non-coding RNA (274 nucleotides) under Mytilus galloprovincialis (Mediterranean mussel). The record is from RNAcentral. Lineage: Eukaryota; Metazoa; Mollusca; Bivalvia; Mytilida; Mytilidae.